GCGCCAGUAGCUCAGUGGAUAGAGCAACACCCUUCUAAGGUGAAGGCCGAAGGUUCGAUUCCUUCCUGGCGCACCA
This 76-nucleotide transfer RNA is filed under the name Candidatus Falkowiibacteriota bacterium. RNAcentral's name for it is "tRNA-Arg". It matches the Rfam family "tRNA". Rfam says of the family: Transfer RNA (tRNA) molecules are approximately 80 nucleotides in length. The record is from RNAcentral. Lineage: Bacteria; Candidatus Falkowiibacteriota.